UUUUGAGGGAGCGGGGCUGUGGUGGGACCGGGGUGUGGGGAUAAAAAACAGUCGGGAUCUUCCCCCUGCGGAGUUUCGAAUCUGCCAGGGGCUUCGGCGGUUGCUGGCAGAUUGUCCUCGCUAGAUAUGGUUUCAUAGUCAUGCAAUAAUUCCGAAGGGUCAGAAAACUUAGGAGAAACCUUCCCGGUUUGGGGUUCUUCAGCAUUUAAGCGUGCGCGGUUGCGCCUUUCUGUCUGUUCAUUGGUAAUUUCACUGGACUUAAGCUUUCAGCCACCAGGAACCACGCUUUGGAGUAAGGUAGCAGGUUAAAGGGCAAAUGAUCAAGAGUUUGGGGUUAGCAGAAGUUUCAGGUCGGCUUUCAAGAAAUGAAGGUUAGGACACCGUGUGUUGGACUAUGGAAUCUUUUCCAAGGACUGAGCUUCAGCAUCAGGCACUACUCUAAGCGUAACCAUCUUCAAACAGUGUGUCCCUCUAGUAAAAUAAAGGCCCCAAAAUGCCACAUCCUGGACUAUUCAGGAGGUACUGUGCUGCCUGGAAGUGUCGUGCCGUGGAGAUGCUUUUCCUGCAAGGAGGAAGAAACAAAAAUCCCUUCCAAAAGGAAGCAAAAUACAUCCAUAAUAACAUCAGAACUUUUAUACAAGAAUUUUCUGAAAUCGGAGCAGAAAAACUGGAAUGACAUUUCAGCAAGAUACAAAGCUAUGACAAAAAGAAUCAAGGAAAAAAUAGAAGCAUUGCACAACAAGUAUACACUCAGUUUGGGAAGCCCAAGGCUCAGGUUUGGCAACAAUGUAUACUUUGAAGAGGACGGCUGCAUAUUUCUUUCAAAAGCAGAUGACGUAGAUGAAGGAAAUGUUGACAUUUUAUUCAGUACCGAAGAUCAUGGCUUUUCUCAUGCCUUUAUUCGACGAAUCAGAAUUUCACCAAAUCAGAGAUACAUGGCUAUCGGCUUAAAAAGUGAAAACUCUGAAGAGGCAACCUGUGUUAUUCUGAAACUGGGUAAUUUUCCUCUCGUGGAAAAAGUAAUUCCAAAUGUAUUUAGUUUUGAAUGGGCGACCAAUGAUGUUCUGUAUUACACAAGUCAGAAGAACCUUAAAUGCCAGAAUGUGUUUAUGACCACUUUCACUGAUCAGAAACAUACUAAGUUAGUUUAUACAGAACAAGAUGCAAGAUUCUUUGUGGACAUACAUUGCACAAAAGAUAGGCGUUUUCUCACUAUCAACAGCAACAGCAAGACCACCUCAGAAGUUUGGCUGGUUGACUGUAGGCAUCCUUUUAAGUUACCUGCUCUUGUACAAGCACGAACAAAAGGGGUCAUUUACCACAUUGAGCACAGAAAUGAUGAGUUAUAUAUUCUUACUACAUAUGGAGAACCUGCAGAAUAUAAGUUGAUGAAGGCACCAGUAGCUUCCAGUGGCAUGGAGAACUGGCAGUUAGUUUAUGCACUGGAGAAGAAAACCAAGCUAGUAGACCUGGAGAUGUUCAGUGAUCACUGUAUUAUGUUCCUGAAAAAUGCUGGUCAUCUUUACUUAAACGUGCUUUCUUUUGUUUCACAUUCAGUCCAGUCAAUAAAGCUACCUACGUGGGCCUGUGAAUUUGAAUUGGAAUCUCAUCCUGAACAUACCAGCAGCACUUGCUAUUUUCAGCUCACCUCCCCAGUCCACCCCCCUAAGCAUUUUGCAUAUUCAUUUAAAGAAAAUAAUCUCAUUGAACAAGCUGUGCAAGAGGUACCAAUUAUUACGAAUUAUCACACUACACGUUUACUAGCCAAAAGCGAGGAUGAAACUUUGGUGCCAAUUACAGUUUUUCAUAAUAUGAAUUCUAAAGAGCUACACAGGAAACCACUUCUGGUUCAUGUAUAUGGAGCUUAUGGCAUAGAUUUGAACAUGACCUUUAAAGAAGAGAAGCUGAUGUUGAUUGAAGAGGGUUGGAUAUUAGCAUAUUGCCAUGUUAGGGGUGGAGGAGAGCUAGGCCUUAGCUGGCACAAAGAUGGAUGUCAGCAUAAUAAACUCAAAGGUCUCCAUGACCUUAAGGCUUGCAUCAUGCUCCUGCAUGAACUAGGAUUUUCUCAGCCAAAAUACACGGCACUAGCGGCUGCCAGCGCAGGAGGAGUUCUUGCAGGAGCCCUGUGCAACACUGCUCCAGAACUUAUCAGAGCCAUGGUUUUACAGGCUCCUUUCGUAGAUGUUCUAAGUACAAUGAUGAAAACUCAUCUCCCACUGACAAUUGAAGAACAAGAAGAAUGGGGAAAUCCACUAGCGGAUGAAAAAUGUAUGAAGUAUAUCAAAAGCUAUUGCCCAUACCAGAAUAUUAAGCCACAGUGUUAUCCUUCAGUUUUUAUAACGGCAUAUGAAAAUGAUCAACGGAUACCACUAACAGGAGUUUUACGAUACGUUCAGAAGCUUAGGAAGGCUGCACUAGACUAUACCAGCAGAACAAGUAAGAAAGCUUCAUUGUUCCAGGAAAUUGGAUCCCCAACAUCAUCUUAGACAUCCAGGCAAAUGGCAGUCAUUGUGAUUCAUCCUGGGAGGAUUCACUGAAUGAGGUUGCAAGACACCUUGCUUUUCUGAACAAAGAACUUGAGGAAGUAUGCCAUCUCCAACAUGACAGCAAAUCCUGCAAAUAGCUAAUAAAUACAUUGAUCACCUGAAGAGCUUUGCGAUAGAUUUUUGUUUGCAUACAAAACAAACACCUUCUCCAGAGGAUCUCUCCUCUUGGAUCCCUGCUUUAUGGGCAUCAGCAGACAAGAAAUUCAAAGUCAAAGCUGGGUGUCGCACUGGCUUAUAAACAUACAAACUAAGAGCUUAAUUUCUCCUCUGCCAGAUAGUAGAGAAGUAGCCACCUGCAUUAAUCAAUUUGUUCAGUACAGUUCUGUUCACAUAAGCAAGCAGUGCAGCACUGGACAAGGUAGAGCUGAAGCAUGACCGUUGGUGCGUAAAGCCUAACAUGUGAAGACGUGCAUUUUGUACAGGCAGCCUUUCCAGUCUAAGACCUCUCUUCCAAGACCAGAUUUUACACAAAGCAGUAAAACGUCCAAGAAAUAUUUGAUUUCAAAGUGUAUGGUCUUCUAAACCCUAAUUCCCAUACAUAGUUGAUAAUGACUGUUGCUGUUCCUAGCUACACAGCAGCCAUAGUGUGCUGAUCAUAUAGUAGCAUUGAACAAACUGGAAGGAAGAAAUGGACUCUCAAGAACUCUUUCAUGUGAGUAGAUUGAAAAUCUUGUAGUUACCUUAACUACCAUGGUCAUCUUAAAAAGGAGGUGCCAAAGUCCCUUCAGAAGACAAGACGAGCACCACAGGAGAUGCCAGAGUCUCCGGUGGAUAAAACAAAAGGAAAGUUCUCACUAAAGCAGCCUGAUUCAUAGCUUAGCUGGCCUCUGAGCAAGGCACCCAACUUCUACACAUUGCUUGUUAAGACAGGCGCAUGGUGCACACACCUAGGGCCACCCACUGGUGCAAGCAGUUGGUGGAAAAUACACUAUGCGGCCAUAAAGUACUCCAACCAAAACAGAGUCCCCCAGAUCACCCACAUGUCCAAACCAGACUGUACCAAGGCUAAUGCUCAUCCUUCCUUUGUGUCACAUCAGCCACAGUAGGGCACGCCAAAUGCAAAUCAAGACACACAAGGGGGACGUUCAGUAGAGUUGUUUCAGCUGUUUACUCUGAACUAAUGUAUGCACACCUCACCUCAACCUCAAAGCAGAAGAAGAAAUAAGAGGAUGCAAAUGUAAGAAGGAUAUGGAGCUGUUGGAACGGGUCCAGAGGAGGGCUACAAAGAUGAUCAGAGGGCUGGAGCACCUUUCCUACGAAGACAGGCUGAGAGAGUUGGGGUUGUUCAGCCUGGAGAAGAGAAGGCUCAGAGGAGACCUUAUAGCGACCUUCCAGUACCUGAAAGGGGCUACAGGGAAGCUGGAGAGGAGCUAUUCAUAAAGACUGGUGGGGAUAGGACCAGGGGGAAUGGGUACAAACUGGAGAGGGGCAGAUUUAGACUAGACAUUAGGAAGAAUUUCUUCACUAUGAGGGUGAUGAGUCACUGGCACAGGUUGCCCCGGGAAGCUGUGGCUGCCCCAUCCCUCGAGGUGUUUAAGGUCAGGUUGGAUGGGGCUGUGGGCAGGGGGAUUGGAACUAGAUGAUCUUUAAGGUCCCUUCCAACCCUAACUAUUCGAUGAUUCUGUGAAAUGUAUUCAAAAUCAUCACAAGGUGGAGAAACUAAUUGGAAAUGCAGUCCUGAGUGUAGAAUUAGACUUAUUAGCUGGAUUUUGUUUUUCUCACUAAUUUUGAGGAUAAUCAAAGCAGUUAAGAGAAGAGAUAAGGUGUCACAACUUUAUGUAUUAGUCUUGCUUGCUUUUACCUAGUUUAACAAAUACAGGGUCAUUCCUUUAGAAUAAGUUAGCUUUAUAGAUGUACAGACUUCUAAAAAGCUACUAUGGACUGUCACAGGCUUUGGA
Molecule: RNA transcript, 4444 nt
Organism: Cuculus canorus (common cuckoo)
Lineage: Eukaryota; Metazoa; Chordata; Aves; Cuculiformes; Cuculidae
Gene: PREPL
Gene name: prolyl endopeptidase like
Exons: 15
Source: RefSeq, a predicted model, not a curated record